UACGGGGGGGGCAAGCGUUGUUCGGAAUUAUUGGGUUUAAAGGGUGCGUAGGCGGCUUAUUAAGUCAGUGGUGAAAGCCUGCAGCUUAACUGCAGAACUGCCAUUGAUACUGAUGAGCUUGAAUAUACUUGAGGUUGGCGGAAUGUGUCAUGUAGCGGUGAAAUGCUUAGAUAUGACACAGAACACCGAUUGCGAAGGCAGCUAGCUAAAGUAUAAUUGACGCUGAGGCACGAAAGCGUGGGGAGCAAACAGG
Molecule: ribosomal RNA, 253 nt
Filed under: uncultured bacterium
Lineage: Bacteria
Description: partial 16S ribosomal RNA
Rfam family: Bacterial small subunit ribosomal RNA
Source: RNAcentral